Acanthosepion pharaonis is the source of this 99-nucleotide non-coding RNA. NCBI's taxonomy places the organism in Eukaryota, Metazoa, Mollusca, Cephalopoda, Sepiida, Sepiidae. The record is from the annotation of a GenBank genome assembly.
CGUUGAAGCACCAGUUCUUGUACGAUCACAAAGUUAAGUAACGUCGAGCCGAGUCAGUACCAAGAUGGAUGACCGCUUGGGAAUAUCAGGUGCAGCAAG